GAAACCGUUGAAGGGGAAACGAAUGCGACCAGCAAAGCACCCGUUGCAGAUUCAGUCGCGAACGCUCGCGYCGUUCGGCGCGCGGAUCCGAACGGACCGCGCUCGUGUCGGCGACGAGCGUGCGCGCCGCAAUUCUGCCCGGUGCGAGCCAACGUCGGCUCGUCGUCGGCGUCCGGCUAGCGCGUCAGGUGUCUCGCGACUUCGGUCGGGAGCGUUACAGGCACGCGAGCAAGGGCGUCGGGACGGACCGAGGAGACGAAUUGUAUCGGUGGCGGUCCGCGCUUGCCUUUGGGCGGGCUAGGGGCAGUCGUGUCGCGCGUCGAGCGCCGUUCSUCGGACUGCUUGCAGUGCGAGGGAAGGACGUUCGGGCGCGUCGGSUCGUCGUCAUAAGCGGACCGAGGUCGUUGGCGGUGAAAUGGUCUCUUCCAACCCGUCUUG
This 438-nucleotide small RNA is filed under the name Oscarella sp. GW33320. RNAcentral describes it as "partial large subunit ribosomal RNA". Lineage: Eukaryota; Metazoa; Porifera; Homoscleromorpha; Homosclerophorida; Oscarellidae. The record is from RNAcentral.